GAUGAACGCUGGCGGCGUGCCUAAUACAUGCAAGUCGAGCGAACGGACGAGAAGCUUGCUUCUCUGAUGUUAGCGGCGGACGGGUGAGUAACACGUGUAUAACCUACCUAUCAGUCUGGGAUAACUUCGGGAAACCGGCGCUAAUACCGUAUGAUCUUUUGAACCGCAUGGUUCAAAAGUGAAAGACGGUCUUGCUGUCACUUAUAGAUGGAUCCGCGCUGCAUUAGCUAGUUGGUAAGGUAACGGCUUACCAAGGCAACGAUGCAAAGCCGACCUGAGAGGGUGAUCGGCCACACUGGAACUGAGACGCGGACCAGACUACUACGGGAGGCAGCAGUAGGGAAUCGGCCGCAGUGGGCGAAAGCCUGACGGAGCAGCGCCGCGUGAGUGAUGAAGGUCUUGGGAGCGUAAAACUCUGUUAUGAGGGAAGAACAGAUGUGUAAGGAACUGUGCACAGCGUGACGGUACCUAGUCAGAAAGCCACGGCUAACUACGUG
RNAcentral lists this ribosomal RNA (497 nucleotides) under uncultured bacterium. Its description in RNAcentral is "partial 16S ribosomal RNA". It matches the Rfam family "Bacterial small subunit ribosomal RNA", at positions 28 to 507 of the family's 1533-position model. The record is from RNAcentral.